This is a small nuclear RNA of Rhincodon typus (whale shark), 107 nucleotides long. The record is from RefSeq and is a predicted model, not a curated record. NCBI's taxonomy places the organism in Eukaryota, Metazoa, Chordata, Chondrichthyes, Orectolobiformes, Rhincodontidae.
GUGCUGACUUCAGCAGCACGUAUACUAAAAUUGGAAUGGUACAGAGGAGAUUAGCAUGGCCGCUGCGCAAGGAUGACACGCAAAGCCGUGAAGCGUUCCAUAUAUUU